GGCUCAGAACGAACGCUGGCGGCGUGCUUAACACAUGCAAGUCGAACGCGAAAGGGGACUUCGGUCCUGAGUAAAGUGGCGCACGGGUGAGUAACGCGUAGAUAACCUGUCUUCAUGUCUGGAAUAAUACGCCAAAGGGGUACUAAUACCGGAUAUUCUUGCUUUUCAUAAGUUAUGCAAGCAAAGGUGGCCUCUGCAUAUGCUACUGCAUGAAGAGGGGUCUGCGUACCAUUAGCUAGUAGGUGGGGUAAUGGCCUACCUAGGCGACGAUGGUUAGCGGGUCUGAGAGGAUGAUCCGCCACACUGGCACUGGAACACGGGCCAGACUCCUACGGGAGGCAGCAGUGAGGAAUAUUGCGCAAUGGGGGAAACCCUGACGCAGCGACGCCGCGUGAAGUGAGGAAGGCCUUCGGGUCGUAAAGCUCUGUCAAGAGGAAAGAAGUGUACAAUGGCUAAUACCUGUUGUAUUUGACGGUACCUCUAAAGGAAGCACCGGCUAACUCCGUGCCAGCCGCGGC
This 518-nucleotide ribosomal RNA is filed under the name uncultured bacterium. RNAcentral describes it as "bacterial SSU rRNA". It matches the Rfam family "Bacterial small subunit ribosomal RNA", at positions 21 to 518 of the family's 1533-position model. The record is from RNAcentral.